Molecule: microRNA precursor, 103 nt
Filed under: Nicotiana tabacum (common tobacco)
Lineage: Eukaryota; Viridiplantae; Streptophyta; Magnoliopsida; Solanales; Solanaceae
Description: miR6159 stem-loop (nta-MIR6159)
Source: miRBase by way of RNAcentral
AACGAGAAAUAGGGCGAGAAUUCUAGGCAAAUGACUUGGAGUUACAUCUAUCCAGACCAAUUGAAGGGCAUUAGCAUAGAAUUCUCGCACCUAUUCCUUGUUC